RNAcentral lists this small RNA (167 nucleotides) under Cyanistes caeruleus (blue tit). Its description in RNAcentral is "TUC338 (ENSCCEG00000015231.1)". Lineage: Eukaryota; Metazoa; Chordata; Aves; Passeriformes; Paridae. The record is from RNAcentral.
UUGGUAGCCCCAGGCGCUGUACUCUCUAUUUAUCCCCAGAGCAGGUACAGCAGGAUGGCAGGCUAUCACAGAGAUGCCAAGCCCUGCCACAAUUCCUCCCGUCCAGGGACCUGGUGAGAAGAGGGUGGUGAAGUCUCAGUGCUGUGACUGCCCACACGAGGGCCAGU